GAAAGAACAACAGAGUUAUACAUUUUCCGUAACCCACCGUUCCAUGCUCUGAAUUAGUUCUUGUACAGGCAGCUUCUCAAUAUCUUGUUU
Molecule: transfer RNA, 90 nt
Filed under: Chlorobium chlorochromatii CaD3
Lineage: Bacteria; Pseudomonadati; Chlorobiota; Chlorobiia; Chlorobiales; Chlorobiaceae
Description: tRNA-Ser
Source: RNAcentral